Molecule: ribosomal RNA, 440 nt
Filed under: uncultured bacterium
Lineage: Bacteria
Description: partial 16S ribosomal RNA
Rfam family: Bacterial small subunit ribosomal RNA
Source: RNAcentral
CCUACGGGAGGCAGCAGUGGGGGAUAUUGCACAAUGGGGGGAACCCUGAUGCAGCGACGCCGCGUGGGUGAAGAAGCGCCUCGGCGCGUAAAGCCCUGUCAGCAGGGAAGAAAAUGACGGUACCUGAAGAAGACGCCCCGGCUAACUACGUGCCAGCAGCCGCGGUAAUACGUAGGGGGCAAGCGUUAUCCGGAUUUACUGGGUGUAACGGGGGCGCAGACGGCGAUGCAAGCCAGGAGUGAAAGCCCGGGGUCCAACCCCGGGACUGCUCUUGGAACUGCGUGGCUGGAGUGCAGGAGGGGCAGGCGGAAUUCCUGGUGUAGCGGUGAAAUGCGUAGAUAUCAGGAGGAACACCGGUGGCGAAGGCGGCCUGCUGGACUGCAACUGACGUUGAGGCCCGAAAGCGUGGGGAGCAAACAGGAUUAGAUACCCGGGUAGUC